RNAcentral lists this non-coding RNA (331 nucleotides) under Pongo abelii (Sumatran orangutan). The record is from RNAcentral. Lineage: Eukaryota; Metazoa; Chordata; Mammalia; Primates; Hominidae.
GUGCGAUGACCGUGCCCCGGAAACAUCCCAGUGAAUGGAAAGAAGCCAACGUCCCCUCCCUCCCUGCUUAUACCCUCAACUUUGCCAAUGAGGACCCUAAAUACCAGCUGCACUACAGGGGAUGUAACUACAUACACCGUCACCAAAGUUGCAGCCUGGCCAAGAAAUGCCAGGGGACGUUGCGGCGAUUGCAGACUCCGCGGUGACUGUGUAGAUUCGUCCAGAAUUCGCCCGUGUAGCGCGGGGAGAGGCGAGAGUGAAGGCCAAAAAGAAAGAAGAAUAAAUGGGACAUUACACAAGGCGUGUUUCUCUGAUUUUCCACUUUCUAUCC